UACGGAAGGCAGCAGUGGGGAAUAUUGCACAAUGGGCGAAAGCCUGAUGCAGCUAUGCCGCGUGUAUGAAGAAGGCCUUAGGGUUGUAAAGUACUUUCAUCGGGGAGGAAAAAACAAACUAAUAAUUUUAUUUCUUGACGUUACCCGAAAAAGAAGCACCGGCUAACUCCGUGCCAGCAGCCGCGGUAAUACGGAGGGUGCUAGCGUUAAUCAGAAUUACUGGGCGUAAAGAGCACGUAGGUGGUUUUUUUAAGUCAGGUGUGAAAUCCCUGGGCUUAACCUAGGAACUGCAUUUUGAAACUGAAAUACUAGAGUAUCGUAGAGGGAGGUAGAAUUCUAGGUGUAGCGGUGAAAUGCGUAGAUAUCUGGAGGAAUACCUGUGGCGAAAGCGGCCUCCUAAACGAAUACUGACACUGAGGGUGCGAAAGCGUGGGGAGCAAACAGGGAUUAGAUACC
This 456-nucleotide ribosomal RNA is filed under the name uncultured bacterium. RNAcentral describes it as "bacterial SSU rRNA". It matches the Rfam family "Bacterial small subunit ribosomal RNA", at positions 340 to 786 of the family's 1533-position model. The record is from RNAcentral.